UGUGGUUCUCAGGUGACGCACCCCAGAAUCGGGCUCCCUACUCUCUGGUUCCAGGUGUAUCACUUGAGAACCACA
Myotis davidii is the source of this 75-nucleotide non-coding RNA. The record is from Rfam. NCBI's taxonomy places the organism in Eukaryota, Metazoa, Chordata, Mammalia, Chiroptera, Vespertilionidae.